This 779-nucleotide ribosomal RNA is filed under the name uncultured Streptococcaceae bacterium. RNAcentral's name for it is "bacterial SSU rRNA". It matches the Rfam family "Bacterial small subunit ribosomal RNA", at positions 79 to 844 of the family's 1533-position model. Lineage: Bacteria; Bacillati; Bacillota; Bacilli; Lactobacillales; Streptococcaceae. The record is from RNAcentral.
UACACCAUAGACUGUGAGUUGCGAACGGGUGAGUAACGCGUAGGUAACCUGCCUAUUAGAGGGGGAUAACUAUUGGAAACGAUAGCUAAUACCGCAUAACAGUAUGUAACACAUGUUAGAUGCUUGAAAGAUGCAAUUGCAUCGCUAGUAGAUGGACCUGCGUUGUAUUAGCUAGUAGGUAGGGUAAAGGCCUACCUAGGCAACGAUACAUAGCCGACCUGAGAGGGUGAUCGGCCACACUGGGACUGAGACACGGCCCAGACUCCUACGGGAGGCAGCAGUAGGGAAUCUUCGGCAAUGGGGGGAACCCUGACCGAGCAACGCCGCGUGAGUGAAGAAGGUUUUCGGAUCGUAAAGCUCUGUUGUUAAGGAAGAACGAGUGUGAGAAUGGAAAGUUCAUACUGUGACGGUACUUAACCAGAAAGGGACGGCUAACUACGUGCCAGCAGCCGCGGUAAUACGUAGGUCCCGAGCGUUGUCCGGAUUUAUUGGGCGUAAAGCGAGCGCAGGCGGUUAGAAAAGUCUGAAGUGAAAGGCAGUGGCUCAACCAUUGUAGGCUUUGGAAACUGUUUAACUUGAGUGCAGAAGGGGAGAGUGGAAUUCCAUGUGUAGCGGUGAAAUGCGUAGAUAUAUGGAGGAACACCGGUGGCGAAAGCGGCUCUCUGGUCUGUAACUGACGCUGAGGCUCGAAAGCGUGGGGAGCGAACAGGAUUAGAUACCCUGGUAGUCCACGCCGUAAACGAUGAGUGCUAGGUGUUAGGUCCUUUCCGGGACUUAGU